AUUGAACGCUGGCGGCAGGCCUAACACAUGCAAGUCGAACGAGUGGCGGACGGGUGAGUAAUGUCUGGGAAACUGCCUGAUGGCGGGGGAUAACUACUGGAAACGGUAGCUAAUACCGCAUACCAUCAGAUGUGCCCAGAUGGGCUUAGCGAGUUGUGGGGGUAACGGCUCACCAAUGCGACGAUCCCUAGCUGGUCUGAGAGGAUGACCAGCCAAACUGGAACUGAGACACGUGCCAGCCUCCGACGGGAGGCAGCAGUGGGGAAUAUUGCACAAUGGGCGCAAGCCUGAUGCAGCCAGGCCGCGUGGAUGAAGAAGGCCUUCGGGUUGUAAAGUACUUUCAGCGGGGAGGCGUUACCCGCAGAAGAAGCACCGGCUAACUCCGUGCGAGCAGCCGCGGUAAUAC
Molecule: ribosomal RNA, 406 nt
Filed under: uncultured bacterium
Lineage: Bacteria
Description: partial 16S ribosomal RNA
Rfam family: Bacterial small subunit ribosomal RNA
Source: RNAcentral